UGAACGCUGGCGGCGUGCCUAAUACAUGCAAGUCGAGCGAACGGACGAGAAGCUUGCUUCUCUGAUGUUAGCGGCGGACGGGUGAGUAACACGUGGAUAACCUACCUAUAAGACUGGGAUAACUUCGGGAAACCGUAGCUAAUACCGGAUAAUAUUUUGAACCGCAUGGUUCAAAAGUGAAAGACGGUCUUGCUGUCACUUAUAGAUGGAUCCGCGCUGCAUUAGCUAGUUGGUAAGGUAACGGCUUACCAAGGCAACGAUGCAUAGCCGACCUGAGAGGGUGAUCGGCCACACUGGAACUGAGACACGGUCCAGACUCCUACGGGAGGCAGCAGUAGGGAAUCUUCCGCAAAGGGCGAAAGCCUGACGGAGCAACGCCGCGUGAGUGAUGAAGGUCUUCGGAUCGUAAAACUCUGUUAUUAGGGAAGAACAUAUGUGUAAGUAACUGUGCACAUCUUGGCGGUACCUAAUCAGAAAGCCACGGCUAACUACGUG
RNAcentral lists this ribosomal RNA (495 nucleotides) under uncultured bacterium. RNAcentral's name for it is "partial 16S ribosomal RNA". It matches the Rfam family "Bacterial small subunit ribosomal RNA", at positions 30 to 507 of the family's 1533-position model. The record is from RNAcentral.